This 453-nucleotide ribosomal RNA is filed under the name Cryptosporidium sp. Morro Bay Non-Crypto-1. Its description in RNAcentral is "bacterial SSU rRNA". It matches the Rfam family "Eukaryotic small subunit ribosomal RNA", at positions 467 to 947 of the family's 1831-position model. The record is from RNAcentral. Lineage: Eukaryota; Apicomplexa; Conoidasida; Eucoccidiorida; Cryptosporidiidae.
GUGACAAGAAAUAACAAUACAGGGCUAUUGUCUUGUAAUUGGAAUGAUGGGAAUUUAAACACCUUUCAGAGUAGCAAUUGGAGGGCAAGUCUGGUGCCAGCAGCCGCGGUAAUUCCAGCUCCAAUAGCGUAUAUUCAAGUUGUUGCAGUUAAAACGCUCGUAGUUGAACUUCGUUCUGAUGUUGUUUCCGGUCUUAACUGGCUGUGUAAAUUACAUCAGAACUAAUCGAUGUAUUUGGGAGUAAUCCCUUGUGCGUUGAAUUUUACCGUGAGAAAAUUAGAGUGCUUAAAGCAGGCUGUGCCUUAUAUAUUCCAGCAUGGAAUAAUAAGCAAUGACUUUUUUCAUUCUUAUUGGAUCAGUGAGAAAAGUAAUGAUUAAUAGGAACGGGCGGGGGCAUUCGUAUUUAACAGCCAGAGGUGAAAUUCUUAGAUUUGUUAAAGACGAACUACUGCG